CUACGAGCUGCUGCAGUGGGGAAUAUUGCACAAUGGAGGAAACUCUGAUGCAGCAACGCCGCGUGGAGGAUGACACUUUUCGGAGCGUAAACUCCUUUUAUAUAGGAAGAAGAUGACGGUACUAUAUGAAUAAGCGCCGGCUAACUCCGUGCCAGCAGCCGCGGUAAUACGGAGGGCGCAAGCGUUACUCGGAAUCACUGGGCGUAAAGAGCGUGUAGGCGGAUUAAAAAGUCAGAAGUGAAAUCCUAUAGCUUAACUAUAGAACUGCUUCUGAAACUCUUAAUCUAGAAUAUGGGAGAGGUAGAUGGAAUUUCUGGUGUAGGGGUAAAAUCCGUAGAGAUCAGAAGGAAUACCGAUUGCGAAGGCGAUCUGCCAGAACAUUAUUGACGCUGAGACGCGAAAGCGUGGGGAGCAAACAGGAUUAGAUACCCCCGUAGUC
Molecule: ribosomal RNA, 439 nt
Filed under: uncultured bacterium
Lineage: Bacteria
Description: partial 16S ribosomal RNA
Rfam family: Bacterial small subunit ribosomal RNA
Source: RNAcentral